RNAcentral lists this ribosomal RNA (591 nucleotides) under Colletotrichum gloeosporioides. Its description in RNAcentral is "eukaryotic LSU rRNA". The stretch from base 198 to 351 matches the Rfam family "5.8S ribosomal RNA". Lineage: Eukaryota; Fungi; Ascomycota; Sordariomycetes; Glomerellales; Glomerellaceae. The record is from RNAcentral.
UCCGUAGGUGAACCUGCGGGGGGGCUACUGAGGUUUCGCUCUACACCCUUUGUGACAUACCUAUAACUGUUGCUUCGGCGGGUAGGGUCCCCGUGACCCUCCCGGCCUCCCGCCCCCGGGCGGGUCGGCGCCCGCCGGAGGAUAACCAAACUCUGAUUUAACGACGUUUCUUCUGAGUGGUACAAGCAAAUAAUCAAAACUUUUAACAACGGAUCUCUUGGUUCUGGCAUCGAUGAAGAACGCAGCGAAAUGCGAUAAGUAAUGUGAAUUGCAGAAUUCAGUGAAUCAUCGAAUCUUUGAACGCACAUUGCGCCCGCCAGCAUUCUGGCGGGCAUGCCUGUUCGAGCGUCAUUUCAACCCUCAAGCUCUGCUUGGUGUUGGGGCCCUACAGCUGAUGUAGGCCCUCAAAGGUAGUGGCGGACCCUCCCGGAGCCUCCUUUGCGUAGUAACUUUACGUCUCGCACUGGGAUCCGGAGGGACUCUUGCCGUAAAACCCCCCAAUUUUCCAAAGGUUGACCUCGGAUCAGGUAGGAAUACCCGCUGAACUUAAGCAUAUCAAUAAGCGGAGGAAGCAUAUCAAUAAGCGGAGGA